GCAGAAAUAUAUCUUGGGAGAGCAGAAAAUUGGGUUCAAUCAGUCCCAAUCCUAAUAACAAUAUAUUGAAUACAUAAAAAAUGGGUUGAGAUUGCCACAACUAUACAGUGGCGGCUCAGAAACUUGAAUUCAUCAAGUAAUGUUACACAUAUGCAAUAGGCAGUUGAAAUCGAAAGAGAACUUACCUCAGAAUCAUGAAAGACACAUUCCUGACUCUUGAUGCUAUC
This is a long non-coding RNA of Ipomoea nil (Japanese morning glory), 227 nucleotides long. RefSeq lists it as uncharacterized. The transcript is spliced from 3 exons. NCBI's taxonomy places the organism in Eukaryota, Viridiplantae, Streptophyta, Magnoliopsida, Solanales, Convolvulaceae. The record is from RefSeq and is a predicted model, not a curated record.